AGCCCAGGAGACAGCCUUGGGCCCCUGGGGGAGCAGUGAGGCUGCUGGGCCGGACUGGUGGGGAGAGCUGAACGUCGGUUGACUCCCAAGGGCAGGACCUGGUUCUCUCGCUGCCAGCUGUGUCUGCACCCCUCCCUGCCGCCCUGCCCGGCACCAGCUCUCCUCACGUCAGACGAAGGAUCGAAUAAGACAGGAAGGCGAGAGUCCCGAGCAUUGGUGGCGAUUACAGGGAUGGACUUGGAGGCCUGGGGGAAGACAGAAGGGUGGAGCGCGGAAGAGGCCCGAAAUGCCCAUUGCCGAGUGCAGGCUGGCUGCGGCCGGUCCUGAGCAGCCGCGUUCCUGCCCGAGAAGUGAUGCGGCUGAGCGACGUGGGCUCUGUGGGCCCUCCCGGGCCACAAAUGGUUAGGAGAACGUGGACCAGGAGAAUCACGCGGCCCUGGCUCAGAGAGGUGACACCUGGGGAAAUCACCCGCCUCUUUGGACCUCAGCUUUCCCAUCUGUAAACUGGGAUAGCGCAGUGGCGGGAUGACUGGGCGGCAUGUGCAUUGCAGACGUCGCCGGUGGAAAUCCCCAUGGGGGCCACCUGCUUGCCACGCGGGCACUGGCAGGAUGCUGCCAGCAGGGGGAGGCAGAGAGCCGCCUUCCAGUCCUAGGGUUUCCGGGUGCUGGCAUCUGGGACAGGCCGGGCUCCUGUAGCAUCCGGCCUGGGUGCAGCAGGAUGAAAGGUUUGGCUCCACACAUCGCCUCUAGGCUGCGGCCCUCUCCAGGGGCUUCUUCAUCUCUGACUCCCCCUGCCCCACCCACCCCUUCAGGACUGGGGUUGGUCUCCCGAACACAGCAGGUGUUCCGUAAAUCCUCCGCGAGUCGAAUUUAACGGGACAACAGAAAACGUGUAUUUUUCGAGCUCUGCGCUCAGUGAUCUAAUCCGCAGCUACGGGGGCCAGAAGGCGUUGUUUUCCGUCAAGAACGCCCGUAUUCCACACCGUCCUGUCCCCACGAGGGGCGCUGGUACCUGGUGAGGGCCUCGGCCAGGUUUGCACCGCCCGCUUUCCGUUGUCCAGACGAGGAAAUGAGGUAGAGAAUAAGUAACUUAAGGUUACAUGCUUUCCUAGGGCUCAGGUUUUAAAAGGGAGAAACGCAAGACCAGGAGGGUCACGGCCCUCAGUGUCAGAGACCCACGGAGCUUCUGCUGGUGUGUCACGGGCUCUGGUGCAGGAACCAGCCCGAGUCCAGUACCGUGUGGACGUGGCAGAUCCAACCCGAGACGCUUCACGCUCAGCCCCUGUCGCGUUUGCCCUACAGACCAAUGGGCGGGGCUGCUGCCCGGUUUGGGGGAGACCAGCUUCAGAGUUUGUCACCACAGCGGCCAUGCCGUCCCUGCGUCCUGACUACCCGCGGCCUCUGGGGUCGGCUCUGAGCAGCUCCCACUUUUCCCCUGGGGACCCUGAGGCUCAGAGGAGCCAAGUCACCCGCCUCGGGUAAACAGCAGCUGCGAGGAAGGUGAAAACAAGAUGACGCAAACCGGGGCGGGGGGCACAGCCAGGUGUGUGAGGUGCUGGGGGAGCAGCAUUUCCAGCCUGAGCUCGAAGGGCGCUGUGCCCUCGGCCCUCAGGGUGUGUCCGUCCGGGAGCCACCACGCACGCUUGCCCUCAUCGAGGCCCACGGUACACACGAGCAUCCGGAGUCCAAACGAGCCCUGACCCAGGGCUCCCCAAACGCAUCGACCCCCACCGAGUGCUUGGGGACGCAGCGCUUCUGGUCUCCGUUUGCCCGGGCACCCAGCCGGACGGCAUUGCUCAGGCUCCUGCUUGAAGCACUUUGUCAUCGUGCCAGGGCCCCCGGCUGCGGGUCACUCCCCUCCAGGAGCGACCGCAGGAAGCUCUCCAGCGCCUGUCUGGGUCCACGGCGCUGUCCCUUCCCACAGGGCUCCUGGGUGUGGAUUCUGGAUGGGACCGGCCCACGGAAGACUGGGCCGCAGUGAGACCAGGGCGGCACCAGCCAGAAGAUCGGCUCCCCCACCGAGCCCAGUCUCUGGCGGCCGCCGUGCUCCGGAAGCGUGGCUCAGUGGCCCAGCGAGUGGCUGGGUGUCGCCCUACCCUGCCAGUCUCAUCUGUGGGCGCCGCUGCGGUCCUCUCUUUGCUCUGGCCAGAGGGGUGCGGAGCCACAUUUGGGGCUCACCCCAGAACAGUGUGAAGCAAGACCCCACGCCAGUGAUGUGCCUCGGGUUUCCCGGGUGCCCACGGGUGCCCGCAUGGUCUAAAUCUGUGCCUUCCAGUGUGGCAGGGUGCAGCCACGUGCAGCAGCUGAACACGUGGCCGGUCCACACUGAGGAGCACUGAUAGCCCGAAACACGCACUGGAUUUCAAAGACCUAGUUGGAGAGAGGGAGAGAGAGAGAGAGGAAAAUAAUGUAAAAUAUCUCAUUAACUUUGCGUCAAUCACAUGUUGAGAUGACAAUUGGUUGGAUGCAUUGGAUUAUUAUGAUGUGUGAGUAAACUUCAUUUGUUUAUUUUCACUUUAA
Prionailurus viverrinus (fishing cat) is the source of this 2520-nucleotide long non-coding RNA. RefSeq lists it as uncharacterized. The transcript has 2 exons. The record is from RefSeq and is a predicted model, not a curated record. Lineage: Eukaryota; Metazoa; Chordata; Mammalia; Carnivora; Felidae.